UCUUCGUUUUUACUAUGAAUUGGUUGACAAACUUUUGCUCCUUUUCAGAAGCAAAGUUAUGAUUUCAGAUCUGUAGAUAACCUGUUGUUGCUGAUAUUGCUACACGGGAGGAGAACAGAACAAGUUGGAAAAUGUGCAAGAAGGAGCUAACUCAUACAACAAAGAACAAAUUGAUGAAGUUAAGAUCAAAUUAGUAGAAUUUGUGAGCUCUCCAUUAUUUAUAAUUAUAGGUAGGAAGUAUGUAUGUAAUAGAGCAAAGAUUGGUUGACUAUGUAAUAACAAUUGAAUUGUCAAGUUUUAUUAAAGAAAUAAUUUUUGCUUCUUGGGAUAGUAUUGUUAGGGUUCGGUGGCGAUUUAUUUUCCAUGUCUAAAUUGUAGUCUGUAAUGGAUGUGUGUGUAUUGUAUGUAGAUUGACUGAAUAUUGCUGUCCUAUUGACUGUGUAUUGUACUAAUAUUGCCUGUGUAUUGUAC
Molecule: long non-coding RNA, 471 nt
Organism: Prunus persica (peach)
Lineage: Eukaryota; Viridiplantae; Streptophyta; Magnoliopsida; Rosales; Rosaceae
Exons: 2
Source: RefSeq, a predicted model, not a curated record